CUACGAGUGGCUCCAGUGAGGAAUAUUGCACAAUGGAGGAAACUCUGAUGCAGCAACGCCGCGUGGAGGAUGACGCAUUUCGGUGUGUAAACUCCUUUUAUAUGUCAAGAAAAUGACGGUAGCAUAUGAAUAAGCUCCGGCUAACUCCGUGCCAGCAGCCGCGGUAAUACGGAGGGAGCAAGCGUUACUCGGAAUCACUGGGCGUAAAGGACGCGUAGGCGGGAUAGAAAGUCAGGUGUGAAAUCCUAUGGAUCAACCAUAGAACUGCACUUGAAACUUCUAACCUAGAGUAUGGGAGGGGAAGAUGGAAUUAGUGGUGUAGGGGUAAAAUCCGUAGAUAUCACUAGGAAUACCAAAAGCGAAGGCGAUCUUCUGGAACAAUACUGACGCUAAGGCGUGAAAGCGUGGGGAGCAAACAGGAUUAGAUACCCUCGUAGUC
RNAcentral lists this ribosomal RNA (439 nucleotides) under uncultured bacterium. Its description in RNAcentral is "partial 16S ribosomal RNA". It matches the Rfam family "Bacterial small subunit ribosomal RNA", at positions 339 to 795 of the family's 1533-position model. The record is from RNAcentral.